Molecule: ribosomal RNA, 438 nt
Filed under: uncultured bacterium
Lineage: Bacteria
Description: bacterial SSU rRNA
Rfam family: Bacterial small subunit ribosomal RNA
Source: RNAcentral
AACGUACGCUGGCGGCACGCCUAACACAUGCAAGUCGAACGAAGUAGCAAUACUUAGUGGCGAACGGGUGAGUAUAAUGUGGGUAUCUGCCUUUUGGUUUGGAAUAACACGGGGAAACUUGUGCUAAUACCGGAUAAGCCUUUACAGGGAAAGUUUUAACGCCGAAAGAUGAGCCCAUACUUGAUUAGCUAGUUGGUAAGGUAAAAGCUUACCAAGGCUACGAUCAAUAGCUGAUCUGAGAGGAUGAUCAGCCACAUUGGGACUGAGACACGGCCCAAACUCCUACGGGGGGCAGCAGUGGGGAAUCUUGCACAAUGGGGGAAACCCUGAUGCAGCGAUGCCGCGUGAGUGAAGAAGGCCUUUGGGUUGUAAAGCUCUUUCGUCGGGGAAGAAAAUGACUGUACCCGAAUAAGAAGGGCCGGCUAACUUCGUGCCAGC